This is a long non-coding RNA of Crotalus tigris (Tiger rattlesnake), 520 nucleotides long. RefSeq lists it as uncharacterized. The record is from RefSeq and is a predicted model, not a curated record. The transcript is spliced from 3 exons. NCBI's taxonomy places the organism in Eukaryota, Metazoa, Chordata, Lepidosauria, Squamata, Viperidae.
CCAGUUUGGCAAGACUAUUAUUGCAGUUCUGUGCAACUGUAGCCCUAACCACAUUUCUGUUCAUACACUGUUUUGCCCAGCAAUAGUUUUUGAUCAUUCUAAGUCAUUUGCUGAAUCUGGAGGACAGCAUGAAGCUGCUCACCACCUUUCUCCUUAUGGGCCUUCUAGCUCUCUGGAUGGGCUACCCCUCCACAGCAGGAAGUGAUUUCCCAACAGAACAUCCAAUUCAACAGAAACCGGGGGUGUGCCCAGUCAAUUAUUGCAGCUGCGUUCAACCUGAAUCUGACAAGUGCAGUAGAGAUCAUGAAUGUGAAAAAAAUAAGAAGUGUUGUUACUACUGUUGUUCAAUGAACUGUGUAGAUCCAGCAUAAGAAGCUCUGGGAUUCAGGCUUCCCGGUUGAUGAAAGUGGUGUCAUGGUUCCGUCAGAUGAAACCCUUCAAAAGAACUUUGAGGCAUUGUUUACCUUAAAGAAUCUUUUAUUCGGGAAACAAAGUUGUUGUUAUGGUUUUAAUGUUGUAA